GAUGAACGCUGGCGGCGUGCCUAAUACAUGCAAGUCGAGCGAACAGACGAGGAGCUUGCUCCUCUGACGUUAGCGGCGGACGGGUGAGUAACACGUGGAUAACCCACCUAUAAGACUGGGAUAACUUCGGGAAACCGGAGCUAAUACCGGAUAAUAUAUUGAACCGCAUGGUUCAAUAGUGAAAGACGGUUUUGCUGUCACUUAUAGAUGGAUCCGCGCCGCAUUAGCUAGUUGGUAAGGUAACGGCUUACCAAGGCAACGAUGCGUAGCCGACCUGAGAGGGUGAACGGCCACACUGAAACUGAGACACGGUCCAGAGUCCUACGGGAGGCAGCAGUAGGGAAUCUUCCGAAAAGGGCGAAAGACUGAAGGAGCAACGCCGCGUGAGUGAUGAAGGUCUUCGGAUCGUAAAACUCUGUUAGUAGGGAAGAACGAAUGUGUAAGUAACUAUGCACGUCUUGACGGUACCUAAUCAGAAAGCAACGGCUAACUACGUG
RNAcentral lists this ribosomal RNA (497 nucleotides) under uncultured bacterium. RNAcentral's name for it is "partial 16S ribosomal RNA". It matches the Rfam family "Bacterial small subunit ribosomal RNA", at positions 28 to 507 of the family's 1533-position model. The record is from RNAcentral.